RNAcentral lists this ribosomal RNA (403 nucleotides) under Staphylococcus epidermidis. Its description in RNAcentral is "bacterial SSU rRNA". It matches the Rfam family "Bacterial small subunit ribosomal RNA", at positions 1 to 392 of the family's 1533-position model. The record is from RNAcentral. Lineage: Bacteria; Bacillati; Bacillota; Bacilli; Caryophanales; Staphylococcaceae.
UUUUAUGGAGAGUUUGAUCCUGGCUCAGGAUGAACGCUGGCGGCGUGCCUAAUACAUGCAAGUCGAGCGAACAGACGAGGAGCUUGCUCCUCUGACGUUAGCGGCGGACGGGUGAGUAACACGUGGAUAACCUACCUAUAAGACUGGGAUAACUUCGGGAAACCGGAGCUAAUACCGGAUAAUAUAUUGAACCGCAUGGUUCAAUAGUGAAAGACGGUUUUGCUGUCACUUAUAGAUGGAUCCGCGCCGCAUUAGCUAGUUGGUAAGGUAACGGCUUACCAAGGCAACGAUGCGUAGCCGACCUGAGAGGGUGAUCGGCCACACUGGAACUGAGACACGGUCCAGACUCCUUCGGGAGGCAGAAGUAGGGAAUCUUCCGCAAUGGGCGAAAGCCUGCAGGAGC